Molecule: long non-coding RNA, 341 nt
Filed under: Olea europaea (common olive)
Lineage: Eukaryota; Viridiplantae; Streptophyta; Magnoliopsida; Lamiales; Oleaceae
Description: long non-coding RNA (OEUR_LNC012839)
Source: RNAcentral
GUUAAAACGAAAGACCGUCCCCUUGGCUAGAUCACAUUUCAGGGGAUGAUUUGAAGACUUGAUAUUCAUCAUGUAAUCGGUUUCAUUAUUUAAUCAGAAAAAAUAUCGCACUCGUUAACUAAAAAGUUGCAAUCUAUCUCGUUGGAGUUGAGUUUUCAUAGUCAGGGAGAUGAUGAAAAGUCUAUUAAACUAUUAUAUGACUAUUUUCAAUGUUUAGGUUCGUAUUUAGAAAAAAGUUACUAAAAUUUAUUUACUAUUAUUUACUAGACUUCCUAUGACUUUAUUAAAUGUUUCCUACUUAGAAUACGUUUACUAUUAGAUUUUCUAGAAUGUUUUUAGAU